Molecule: transfer-messenger RNA, 363 nt
Filed under: Salmonella enterica
Lineage: Bacteria; Pseudomonadati; Pseudomonadota; Gammaproteobacteria; Enterobacterales; Enterobacteriaceae
Also listed under: 3 other names
Rfam family: transfer-messenger RNA
About the family: Bacterial tmRNA, also known as 10Sa RNA or SsrA, is named for its dual tRNA and mRNA-like properties.
Source: RNAcentral
GGGGCUGAUUCUGGAUUCGACGGGAUUUGCGAAACCCAAGGUGCAUGCCGAGGGGCGGUUGGCCUCGUAAAAAGCCGCAAAAAAAUAGUCGCAAACGACGAAAACUACGCUUUAGCAGCUUAAUAACCUGCAUAGAGCCCUCUCUCCCUAGCCUCCGCUCUUAGGACGGGGAUCAAGAGAGGUCAAACCCAAAAGAGAUCGCGCGGAUGCCCUGCCUGGGGUUGAAGCGUUAAAACGAAUCAGGCUAGUCUGGUAGUGGCGUGUCCGUCCGCAGGUGCCAGGCGAAUGUAAAGACUGACUAAGCAUGUAGUACCGAGGAUGUAGGAAUUUCGGACGCGGGUUCAACUCCCGCCAGCUCCACCA